RNAcentral lists this ribosomal RNA (231 nucleotides) under uncultured bacterium. Its description in RNAcentral is "partial 16S ribosomal RNA". It matches the Rfam family "Bacterial small subunit ribosomal RNA", at positions 118 to 347 of the family's 1533-position model. The record is from RNAcentral.
UGAGGAACAUGACUUUCGGCGGGGGAUAGCCGGCCCAACGGCCGGGUAAUACCGCGUACGACCACAUAGGGACAUCCCUGAGUGGUGAAAGCAGCAAUGCGCCGAUGGAGUGCCUCGCGGCCUAUCAGCUAGUUGGUGAGGUAACGGCUCACCAAGGCGACGACGGGUAGCUGGUCUGAGAGGAUGGCCAGCCACAUUGGGACUGAGACACGGCCCAGACCUCUACGGGAG